Molecule: non-coding RNA, 1041 nt
Organism: Oryctolagus cuniculus (rabbit)
Lineage: Eukaryota; Metazoa; Chordata; Mammalia; Lagomorpha; Leporidae
Source: RefSeq, a predicted model, not a curated record
CUGGUAAAGGAAGAAUGGAAAUAGAAAACACUGUUACAGAUCUGCCAAGGAGAGAGAGAGAGAGUCCUUAAAAACGCACGUGGUGCCGAUGCCUGCUGUGCCGCGUCAGUACAAGAGGACUUGCUUCAAACACACGUAGCUGGGGUUUCAAAAAACCCAGUGAGCUAAUCAUCAUACUAGUCUUCAUCAUGUGCUUAUCAUGUGUCAUCCGAGAUGCUGAGUAUGACUUAUCUUACUUAUCUAGUUGAUCAUCACAACACACUUUAUGAAGUUGGGUGUAUUACACAGCCAUUCUUGAAUGAAGACUUCGUUUGCACAUUCCUUACUGUAUUUUGUAAAGGUCUAAAAUGUCAGUUGCAGUAACAUUUGUUUCUAAUAAUUUCCUUAUCUAAGUGGAGGCUUGUAAAGACCCUGAGUUUGCAGAUAUGUCUGUAUUCUCGGCGAUGCAUGCCGGAAACAUGGGGGCAAAGAAGAGUUUUUGGAUCUAGGAAGAGGAUACUUUUUGUAAUAUUAAUCUGACUUUUCUCUACGCAGAAUUAAAAAAUAGAAAUUUGUGGGAAAACCCCCCAAAAGUGACUUACUCUGCUCUUCAAAAUACAAUGUGAAUAACAAUGAAAAACGACCGCCAGCAAUGAAGAGCAAAGGCAGAUCUGGGACAUGAGGCGUGAAGUCUCUGUCGCCUUAGGCUUAAUGGAUGCUGCACACGGAAAAGGUCUUUCUAAACCAAACAUGAAGCAUGGUCACCUAUAGAAAGAGGGGCUGAUAAGAUGGCAGGGGCGCUGGUUCAAAGCAGAGUUUCAGAAACACUCCAAGGAGUCAACCAUACGUGUACCUACCUUGAAGAGGUCCCCAGAGCUGUGAUAAGGGCUUGCAGCAACCCUCCAAUGAAAACCCAAGGGUUCUUCCGUGUCACCAGGAAAUAGAGGAGUGGUAGGACAAUGACGGCGUGGAUGAGCAAGCCAAUGAUGACUGUCACCGUGUACAUGGCCAGCUGCCCCCCAAUCACACCCAUGUCUUCCAUCUCAACAAUUUUCCCUGCAA